Molecule: long non-coding RNA, 2316 nt
Organism: Callithrix jacchus (white-tufted-ear marmoset)
Lineage: Eukaryota; Metazoa; Chordata; Mammalia; Primates; Cebidae
Source: RefSeq, a predicted model, not a curated record
CUCCACUCAACAUAAGAAGUGGGUGCUGCUAUUUCACGCCACAUUGAGGAAACCAAGGCCUAGAGAGGUUUACCAACGUGUCCAGGACCCACAGCCAGAACCCAAGAGGCAAGCCCAGGUCUCUCCUGAUACUUCCACCAGGACCAUGGUCCUUUAAAGGGAAGAGGAUGCGGCAUGAAAGACAAGUGGAAGAAAAGAAAAUAGAAAAUUCUUCAGGCUAAGGGAAUAAAAGGUCAGAAAACAUCAAAGUUGAUGGAAACUGUGAGUUUCAUAGCCAAACCCCUUGGCUUAGUCCAGGAGGAAACUCUAGCCCAUAAAAAAAAAAAAGGAUUUGCUCAAGGAGUUGGGUUAGAGCCUGCACUUCCAAAACCCCACCAGUGCUUUUUGUACCAAGCCCUCUGCCCCAAAGCCAGGAGAGGAUAGGUCACUCACAGUUCAUAGCUCAGCUCAGACAUCACCCCCUCUCGGCAGCUUUCCUUCCCCCGCCACAGCAGCUCUGCCACUCCUCUGUACUCAGUGGUUUACUCACCUGUCUGCCUCCCCCACUGGACUGUGAGAGGAUGGAAACAGAUUCUGUCUUGGUCCUCAGACCUCAGGAGACCUGGCACAUAGUAAGUACUCAAUAAACAACUGUGGGACUGAAUGUCCGAAUGAGUGAAGGGAUGAACCAAAUGGUUAUACGUGCCAUUCUACAUAACAAUGGCCUCGCGUGCACACAGGGCUUUCAUUUUUCAAAUCACAUUAAUCACAUUGUCUCAGUAGGACCCAGUGAGAGGCCCCAAUGACAAGGAGAAUGGUAUCAAGCGCACACACAUUUACACAUGCAGCUCCCCUCCGUGUUUAUGUACGUAUAAGAGACCCAUACACCCAUCCAUCCCCAGCCAGCAAGAAAGAUGCCAUGACGUGCUAUUUCCUGUUUUGUCUGCAAACGCCGAGGCGUCCUCUAUUUUUUCCCCCACCCCGGCGCGCGCGCGCGCGCACACACACACACACACACACUUGCGCAGGGCCGGUUUUCCUCCUUAGCUGAAAGAGAGUAAAAGAGAGCCAGCCGUCCACAAGGGGGCAUUCAAAGACCAUCAAACACAAUGUCUCAAAGCCACGACUGCUACCUAAACUUGAUCUUGAAGAGAAAAGAAGAUCCCAGGGAAAACUGAAGAGGCAGGGUGGGGUCUCGCAUGGAAACGAGAAGAGGAAGUGGUCAGCCACUGGAGAAGCAGGGCUGAUGGAGAUGGCGGCUCCGUCUAAAUAAUAGAAAUGGUAAUAACCCUCACUCUUCGUAUUUACUAAAUAUUUACCAAGCACUGGUGCCUGGUCUAAGCACUUCACAUGUCACGACUGGUUUAAUCUUCCUCUCACCUCUGCAAGGUUCAAUACUGCUAUCAUUCUGGCUUUAUAGAUGAAAAAACAAAUGAAUCAGAAAAACUGAGUAACUUGCCCAGGGUCACUCAGUGGUGAAGUAGGAAUUCAAACCCAGGACCUGUUAUCCAUAGGUCACACUGUUAAACUACUCUGCUGCCUUGAAGCUGGACUUUCAGACAUCCUACUUCUCAGCCCAGGAUUCUCUCUGCCGGACUCUACUUCUCACAGAUCAAGGCCCUUUUGGGUGGUUGUUGAAGGACCUAGAAGCUGAUUUCCUAAGAGUGAAUAACGGUGCCCUGAAGCUGACCCCUCAUCCGCUAUAAACUGUUGAUGCUGGGUUGGUGUAGUGCCUUUGGAAAGCAGUAAAGCAAUUAUUAGCAAAAGGCCUAAAGCUCUUCCUUCCCCUUUGACCCUAUAAUCUCAUUCCUGGGAAAUUAUUCCAAGGAAAUUAUCCAAACAGAAGCCAAGUGUUAUCUGCAUGCAUGCGUGCCCUGAAGUCUUUCUUUAAAGGUCAAAAACUGGAAGGACAAUAAGGAAGUGGUUUAAUACUCUGGGGCAUCAUUACAAUGGACAGUCCAGCCUGGAAAAGCACAGUUGUGUUAACUGUGAUGGGAAUGGGCACUCGGAGGAUGCUUCUGCUGCACAGUGUAUCACCACCACACUCCCACCUCACUAGCCAAUUCAACAAAUCACGCUUGUCAAGGAGAGAGAAGUCUCUUUGUUCAUGCUCAAAAUAAACUUAGCCUCUGAUGCCCCAAAGGAACAGAAGAGAAGCUUAAAUGCAACAAAAACAAUAACCUCAAUAAUUCUUGGGUUUUGAGUUUCCAAGGCCCCAGUUCGUGAUGAUGUAUGACAUUUUCUGAGAGUGAUUUUGAUGAUUGGUUAUUGAUGAUUUUCACCUUUCACACUGUUCUUGUGACUAAGCUAUCUAAUUCUUCAUAUUAAAUUGUGUUA